UUCGGGGGUACUCGAGUGGCGAACGGGUGAGUAACACGUGGGCAAUCUGCCCUGCACUUCGGGAUAAGCCUGGGAAACUGGGUCUAAUACCGGAUAGGACCUUUAGACGCAUGUCUUUUGGUGGAAAGCUUUUGCGGUGUGGGAUGGGCCCGCGGCCUAUCAGCUUGUUGGUGGGGUGACGGCCUACCAAGGCGACGACGGGUAGCCGGCCUGAGAGGGUGUCCGGCCACACUGGGACUGAGAUACGGCCCAGACUCCUACGGGAGGCAGCAGUGGGGAAUAUUGCACAAUGGGCGCAAGCCUGAUGCAGCGACGCCGCGUGGGGGAUGACGGCCUUCGGGUUGUAAACCUCUUUCACCAUCGACGAAGGUUCGGGUUUUCUCGGAUUGACGGUAGGUGGAGAAGAAGCACCGGCCAACUACGUGCCAGCAGCCGCGGUAAUACGUAGGGUGCGAGCGUUGUCCGGAAUUACUGGGCGUAAAGAGCUCGUAGGUGGUUUGUCGCGUUGUUCGUGAAAUCUCACGGCUUAACUGUGAGCGUGCGGGCGAUACGGGCAGACUAGAGUACUGCAGGGGAGACUGGAAUUCCUGGUGUAGCGGUGGAAUGCGCAGAUAUCAGGAGGAACACCGGUGGCGAAGGCGGGUCUCUGGGCAGUAACUGACGCUGAGGAGCGAAAGCGUGGGGAGCGAACAGGAUUAGAUACCCUGGUAGUCCACGCCGUAAACGGUGGGUACUAGGUGUGGGUUUCCUUCCUUGGGAUCCGUGCCGUAGCUAACGCAUUAAGUACCCCGCCUGGGGAGUACGGCCGCAAGGCUAAAACUCAAAGGAAUUGACGGGGGCCCGCACAAGCGGCGGAGCAUGUGGAUUAAUUCGAUGCAACGCGAAGAACCUUACCUGGGUUUGACAUGCACAGGACGCGUCUAGAGAUAGGCGUUCCCUUGUGGCCUGUGUGCAGGUGGUGCAUGGCUGUCGUCAGCUCGUGUCGUGAGAUGUUGGGUUAAGUCCCGCAACGAGCGCAACCCUUGUCUCAUGUUGCCAGCGGGUAAUGCCGGGGACUCGUGAGAGACUGCCGGGGUCAACUCGGAGGAAGGUGGGGAUGACGUCAAGUCAUCAUGCCCCUUAUGUCCAGGGCUUCACACAUGCUACAAUGGCCGGUACAAAGGGCUGCGAUGCCGCAAGGUUAAGCGAAUCCUUUUAAAGCCGGUCUCAGUUCGGAUUGGGGUCUGCAACUCGACCCCAUGAAGUCGGAGUCGCUAGUAAUCGCAGAUCAGCAACGCUGCGGUGAAUACG
Molecule: ribosomal RNA, 1290 nt
Filed under: Mycobacterium intracellulare
Lineage: Bacteria; Bacillati; Actinomycetota; Actinomycetes; Mycobacteriales; Mycobacteriaceae
Description: bacterial SSU rRNA
Rfam family: Bacterial small subunit ribosomal RNA
Source: RNAcentral